ACUCCAGUUGAUCCUGCUGGAGGGUACUGCUAUCAGACUUCGAUUAAGCCAUGCAAGUCAGCUCAUUCACUUGGAUGGGCGGCAAAAGGCUGAGUAACACGUGGUCAAUCUGCCCUAAGGACGUGGAUAUCCUCGGGAAACUGAGGUCAACCCACGAUAGGUGCCCUAUGCUGGAAUGCUUGGGCAUCCAAAAGGCUGGUGAAUUGGAGCCAGUUCGCCUUAGGAUGAGACUGCGCCGGAUUAUGGUUGUUGGGGAGGUAAAUAUGCAAAGCAAGCUUUGCAAUUUUUGCUUUGUGUAGCAAAAUGGCUCACCAAGCCGAUAAUCCGUAGGGGCCAUGGGAGUGGUGGCCCCCAGAAGGGUACUGAGACAAGGACCCUAGCCCUACGGGGUGCAGCAGGCGCGAAACCUUUACAAUGCACGAAAGUGUGAUAAGGGGAGUCUGAGUGGCGAUAGCAUAGCUAUCGUCUUUUGCCAAGUGUAAAUAGCUUGGAGAAUAAGGGUGUGGGCAAUCACACCCUGAACGAACAGUCUUUAGGGAGUGGCCUAAGACUGGUGGCAGCCGCCGCGGUAACACCAGCGCCUCGAGUGGUACCCACGGAUAUUGGGCCUAGAGCGUCCGUAGCCGGACGAUUAAGUCCGCUGUGAAAUGUUGGGGCUCAACCCUAACGCUUGCAGUGGAUACUGGUUGUCUUGGGAACGGGGGAGGAUCGGAGUACUUCCGGGGUAGGGGUAAAAACCCUUGAAUGCGUUCACGAUUUGCAAUCAAGGGAUUGCAAUCCGUUGAGCCUGGAAGGACUACCAGUGGCGAAGGCGCCGAUCCAAAACGUGUCCGACGGUGAGGGACGAAAGCUGGGGGAGCGAACGGGAUUAGAUACCCCGGUAGUCCCAGCUGUAAAUUAUGCAGACUGAGGUGUUACACAUGAGUAAUCAUGUGUAGUGCUGUAGCGUAGUAAGCUUUUUAGGAAAAAGCUUAACCAAAAACUUGCUAAAAAGCUUGCGCAAGUGUUAAGUCUGCCGCCUGGGGAGUACGAUCGCAAGAUUUAAACUUAAAGGAAUUGGCGGGGGAGCACCACAAGCCGUGGAUGCUACGGUUUAAUUGGAUACAACGCCGGAAAUAU
Molecule: ribosomal RNA, 1119 nt
Filed under: Microcaldota archaeon
Lineage: Archaea; Nanobdellati; Microcaldota
Description: bacterial SSU rRNA
Rfam family: Archaeal small subunit ribosomal RNA
Source: RNAcentral